GAUGAACGCUGGCGGCGUGCCUAAUACAUGCAAGUCGAGCGAACAGAUGAGGAGCUUGCUCCUCUGACGUUAGCGGCGGACGGGUGAGUAACACGUGGAUAACCUACCUAUAAGACUGGGAUAACUUCGGGAAACCGGAGCUAAUACCGGAUAAUAUAUUGAACCGCAUGGUUCAAUAGUGAAAGACGGUUUUGCUGUCACUUAUAGAUGGAUCCGCGCCGCAUUAGCUAGUUGGUAAGGUAACGGCUUACCAAGGCAACGAUGCGUAGCCGACCUGAGAGGGUGAUCGGCCACACUGGAACUGAGACACGGUCCAGACUCCUACGGGAGGCAGCAGUAGGGAAUCUUCCGCAAUGGGCGAAAGCCUGACGGAGCAACGCCGCGUGAGUGAUGAAGGUCUUCGCAUCGUAAAACUCUGUUAUUAGGGAAGAACAAAUGUGUAAGUAACUAUGCACGUCUUGACGGUACCUAAUCAGAAAGCCACGGCUAACUACGUG
This 497-nucleotide ribosomal RNA is filed under the name uncultured bacterium. Its description in RNAcentral is "partial 16S ribosomal RNA". It matches the Rfam family "Bacterial small subunit ribosomal RNA", at positions 28 to 507 of the family's 1533-position model. The record is from RNAcentral.